RNAcentral lists this ribosomal RNA (759 nucleotides) under uncultured bacterium. RNAcentral's name for it is "bacterial SSU rRNA". It matches the Rfam family "Bacterial small subunit ribosomal RNA", at positions 32 to 785 of the family's 1533-position model. The record is from RNAcentral.
CACGCUGCGGCGGCCUACACAUGCAAGUCGAACGGUAACAGGGGUAGCAAUACCUGCUGACGAGUGGCGCACGGGUGAGUAACGCGUAUGCAACCUGCCCUGUACUGGGGGAUAGCUCGGAGAAAUCCGGAUUAAUACCCCAUAAUAAUAUAGACAGGCAUCUGUUUAUGUUUAAAGUUCCGGCGGUACAGGAUGGGCAUGCGUGCCAUUAGUUAGUUGGUGAGGUAACGGCUCACCAAGACGAUGAUGGCUAGGGGGUCUGAGAGGAUUAUCCCCCACACUGGUACUGAGACACGGACCAGACUCCUACGGGAGGCAGCAGUAAGGAAUAUUGGGCAAUGGGCGAGAGCCUGACCCAGCCAUGCCGCGUGCAGGAAGACGGCCUUAUGGGUUGUAAACUGCUUUUAUAUGGGGAAUAACCGUAGCUACGUGUAGCUGCCUGUAUGUACCAUAUGAAUAAGCACCGGCUAACUCCGUGCCAGCAGCCGCGGUAAUACGGAGGGUGCAAGCGUUAUCCGGGAAUCAUUGGGUUUAAANGGUGCGUAGGCGGAUAAAUAAGUCAGUGGUGAAAUACCCGUGCUCAACAUGGGGGGCUGCCAUUGAUACUGNUUAUCUAGAGUUUANUUGACGUUGGCGGAAUGUGUCAUGUNACNGUGAAAAUGCCUANAUAUUCCUCAGAACGCCNAUAGCGAAAGCAGCUGACUACNAUACAACUGACNCUGANGCACGAAAACGUGGGGAUCNAACAGGAUUANNUCC